CCUACGGGAGGCAGCAGUGGGGAAUAUUGCACAAUGGGGGAAACCCUGAUGCAGCGACGCCGCGUGAGUGAUGAAGUACUUCGGUAUGUAAAGCUCUAUCAGCAGGGAAGAAAAUUACGGUACGUGAUUAAUUACCCCCGGCGACCUCCGUGCCAGCAGCCGCUGUAAUACGUAGGGGGCAAGCGUUCUCCGGAUAUGCUGGGUGUAACGGGGGCGUAGAUGGGUGUGCAAGUCUGGAGUGAAAUGCCGGGGCUUAACCCCGGGACUGCUGUGGAAACUGUGCAGCUAGAGUGCAGGAGAGGUAAGUGGAAUUCCUAGUGUAGCGGUGAAAUGCGUAGAUAUUAGGAAGAACACCAAAGGCGAAGGCAGCUUACUGGGGUGUAACUGACGUUGAGGCUCGAAAGCGUGGGGAGCAAACAGGAUUAGAUACCCCGGUAGUC
RNAcentral lists this ribosomal RNA (440 nucleotides) under uncultured bacterium. Its description in RNAcentral is "partial 16S ribosomal RNA". It matches the Rfam family "Bacterial small subunit ribosomal RNA", at positions 338 to 795 of the family's 1533-position model. The record is from RNAcentral.